This is a non-coding RNA of Podarcis lilfordi (Lilford's wall lizard), 96 nucleotides long. Lineage: Eukaryota; Metazoa; Chordata; Lepidosauria; Squamata; Lacertidae. The record is from the annotation of a GenBank genome assembly.
GGCAAGAUGUAGCUCAGUGGCAGAGCAUCUGCUUUGCAUGCAGAAGCUCCAGGUGGGUGGCGCUGUGAGUUAAACCACAGAGCCUAGGACUUGCCG